GACGAACGCUGGCGGCGUGCUUAAUACAUGCAAGUCAACUGAACUUGAGGUAGCAAUAUCUUAAGGGAGGUGGCGCACGGGUGAGUAACGCGUAGGCAAUCUACCUUUGGGUCUGAAAUAACCCCGAGAAAUCAGGGCUAAUGUCAGAUAAUGCAGCGGCUCCGCAUGGAGAUUGUUGUUAAAACUUCGGUGCCUAAAGAUGAGCCUGCGUCCCAUUAGAUAGUUGGCGGGGUAACGGCCCACCAAGUCCUCGAUGGGUAGCUGGUCUGAGAGGAUGAUCAGCCACACUGGAACUGAGACACGGUCCAGACUCCUACGGGUGGCUG
This 326-nucleotide ribosomal RNA is filed under the name uncultured Chlorobiota bacterium. RNAcentral describes it as "bacterial SSU rRNA". It matches the Rfam family "Bacterial small subunit ribosomal RNA", at positions 28 to 351 of the family's 1533-position model. The record is from RNAcentral. Lineage: Bacteria; Pseudomonadati; Chlorobiota.